CCUUCCGUAGUGUAGUUGGUUCAUCACGUUCGACUGUAACUGGUAACAUUUCCAAUCGAAAAGGUCACCGGCUCGACUCCGGUCGGAAGGA
Molecule: transfer RNA, 91 nt
Filed under: Verticillium dahliae VdLs.17
Lineage: Eukaryota; Fungi; Ascomycota; Sordariomycetes; Glomerellales; Plectosphaerellaceae
Description: Verticillium dahliae tRNA VDAG_20103
Source: RNAcentral